Meriones unguiculatus (Mongolian gerbil) is the source of this 404-nucleotide long non-coding RNA. RefSeq lists it as uncharacterized. The transcript has 2 exons. NCBI's taxonomy places the organism in Eukaryota, Metazoa, Chordata, Mammalia, Rodentia, Muridae. The record is from RefSeq and is a predicted model, not a curated record.
AGGGCCCCGCCGGCCUGGGGCUGGCCGCGCGCCCACCUGUCGCUCCGCGGGGGCCUCCCCGGUUUCUCGCCGCCGCCGCCGCUCGGAGGCGGGGAGCGGAGCCUCGGGGGACCGGCUCUCUCCCGGACGCCCCGGGCGCGGUCCCGCCCGCUCGCCCCAGCCCUCCGCGCCCGGGUCUCCCCUGUACCCCGUCGCCUCCCGACUUCCUCCGGGUUCCUGGAAGACACGUGGGAGGCUCGUGUCCCGUAGAGCCCGCCAGCCUAGCUCGCGCGUUCCCUAGCCGGGGCUUCGCUCCUGAGCCCUGCCUUUUCGAACGUUCACACUCGUUCUCUUUGCUCUCUGAGCAGCACCAUGGAAGCUGGCAAGAACAAGGACCUGAUGAAAGGCAGCAAGAAGAAAGUAGU